This 201-nucleotide ribosomal RNA is filed under the name uncultured bacterium. Its description in RNAcentral is "partial 16S ribosomal RNA". It matches the Rfam family "Bacterial small subunit ribosomal RNA", at positions 328 to 539 of the family's 1533-position model. The record is from RNAcentral.
ACGCUCGACACCUACGUGAGGCAGCAGUCGGGAAUAUUGCGCAAUGGAGGAAACUCUGACGCAGUGACGCCGCGUGCAGGAAGAAGGUUUUCGGAUUGUAAACUGCUUUAGACAGGGAAGAAAGAAAUGACAGUACCUGUAGAAUAAGCUCCGGCUAACUACGUGCAAGCAGCCGCGGUAAUCUGAGCGGGCUGGCAAGGC